GUGAGGAAUUUUCCGCAAUGGGCGAAAGCCUGACGGAGCAAUGCCGCGUGAAGGAUGAAGGCCUAUGGGUUGUAAACUUCUUUUCUCAGAAAAGAAUUAUGACGGUAUCUGAGGAAUAAGCAUCGGCUAACUCUGUGCCAGCAGCCGCGGUAAGACAGAGGAUGCAAGCGUUAUCCGGAAUGAUUGGGCGUAAAGCGUCUGUAGGUUGUUUAAAAAGUAUUCUGUCAAAGAUUAGGGCUUAACCCUAGAUAGGCAGAAUAAACUUUUAAGCUAGAGUUUGGUAGAGGCAGAGGGAAUUCCCGGUGGAGCGGUGAAAUGCGUAGAUAGCGGGAGGAACACCAAAGGCGAAGGCACUCUGCUGGGCCAAUACUAACACUGAGAGACGAAAGCGAGGGGAGCAAAUGGGAUUAGAAACCCCAGUAGUCC
Molecule: ribosomal RNA, 426 nt
Filed under: uncultured bacterium
Lineage: Bacteria
Description: partial 16S ribosomal RNA
Rfam family: Bacterial small subunit ribosomal RNA
Source: RNAcentral